RNAcentral lists this ribosomal RNA (546 nucleotides) under uncultured bacterium. RNAcentral describes it as "bacterial SSU rRNA". It matches the Rfam family "Bacterial small subunit ribosomal RNA", at positions 355 to 896 of the family's 1533-position model. The record is from RNAcentral.
UGGGGAAUAUUGCGCAAUGGGGGGAACCCUGACGCAGCCAUGCCGCGUGAAUGAAGAAGGCCUUCGGGUUGUAAAGUUCUUUCGGUAUUGAGGAAGGUUGAUGUGUUAAUAGCACAUCAAAUUGACGUUAAAUACAGAAGAAGCACCGGCUAACUCCGUGCCAGCAGCCGCGGUAAUACGGAGGGUGCGAGCGUUAAUCGGAAUAACUGGGCGUAAAGGGCACGCAGGCGGUUAUUUAAGUGAGGUGUGAAAGCCCUGGGCUUAACCUAGGAAUUGCAUUUCAGACUGGGUAACUAGAGUACUUUAGGGAGGGGUAGAAUUCCACGUGUAGCGGUGAAAUGCGUAGAGAUGUGGAGGAAUACCGAGGCGAAGGCAGCCCCUUGGGAAUGUACUGACGCUCAUGUGCGAAAGCGUGGGGAGCAAACAGGAUUAGAUACCCUGGUAGUCCACGCUGUAAACGCUGUCGAUUUGGGGGUUGGGGUUUAACUCUGGCGCCCGUAGCUAACGUGAUAAAUCGACCGCCUGGGGAGUACGGCCGCAAGGUUA